AACGCUGGCGGCGCGCCUAACACAUGCGAGUCGAACGGAGUUAAAGAAAGCUUGCUUUCUUAACUUAGUGGCGGACGGGUGAGUAACGCGUGAGUAACCUGCCUUUCAGAGGGGGGAUAACGACUGGAAACGGUCGCUAAUACCGCAUGAUAUACAGAAAUCGCAUGAUUUUUGUAUCAAAGGAGCAAUCCGCUGAAAGAUGGACUCGCGUCCAAUUAGCUAGUUGGUGAGGUAAUGGCUCACCAAGGCGACGAUUGGUAGCCGGACUGAGAGGUUGAACGGCCACAUUGGGACUGAGACACGGCCCAGACUCCUACGGGAGGCAGCAGUGGGGAAUAUUGCACAAUGGAGGAAACUCUGAUGCAGCGACGCCGCGUGAGGGAAGAAGGUUUUCGGAUUGUAAACCUCUGUCCUCGGUGAAGAUAAUGACGGUAGCCGAGGAGGAGGCCACGGCUAACUACGUGCCAGCAGCGGC
This 475-nucleotide ribosomal RNA is filed under the name uncultured bacterium. RNAcentral describes it as "bacterial SSU rRNA". It matches the Rfam family "Bacterial small subunit ribosomal RNA", at positions 32 to 518 of the family's 1533-position model. The record is from RNAcentral.